CCUACGGGAGGCAGCAGUGAGGAAUAUUGGACAAUGGGCGAGAGCCUGAUCCAGCCAUGCCGCGUGCAGGAAGACUGCCCUAUGGGUUGUAAACUGCUUUUAUACAGGAAGAAUAAGCCUUACGUGUAAGGUGAUGACGGUACUGUAAGAAUAAGGACCGGCUAACUCCGUGCCAGCAGCCGCGGUAAUACGGAGGGUCCGAGCGUUAUCCGGAAUUAUUGGGUUUAAAGGGUCCGUAGGCGGAUGAUUAAGUCAGGGGUGAAAGUUUGCAGCUCAACUGUAAAAUUGCCUUUGAUACUGGUCAUCUUGAGUUGUAUUGAAGUAGGCGGAAUAUGUAGUGUAGCGGUGAAAUGCAUAGAUAUUACAUAGAACACCAAUUGCGAAGGCAGCUUACUAAGUACUAACUGACGCUGAUGGACGAAAGCGUGGGUAGCGAACAG
Molecule: ribosomal RNA, 440 nt
Filed under: uncultured bacterium
Lineage: Bacteria
Description: bacterial SSU rRNA
Rfam family: Bacterial small subunit ribosomal RNA
Source: RNAcentral